Molecule: RNA transcript, 4940 nt
Organism: Melanotaenia boesemani (Boeseman's rainbowfish)
Lineage: Eukaryota; Metazoa; Chordata; Actinopteri; Atheriniformes; Melanotaeniidae
Gene name: A disintegrin and metalloproteinase with thrombospondin motifs 2-like
Exons: 25
Source: RefSeq, a predicted model, not a curated record
GGAGGAGAUAAUGACAGAGUGGAGGAGUGUCUGUAUGCCGGGGCAUUCAGUCUACAGCUUUCCGUCUGGUUCACAGCUUCUCUCUCAGCUCUGCGUCUGUCAUCAUGGACCAGCCUUUUCGUGGAUUAUUAAUAAUUGUUUUCCUGCUGCAGAUGGACUGUUUGUUCUCCGUUUACAUCAGCGGCGGGGCAGAUUCUCUCCAUCAGGUCCUGUCUGAGUUCAGCAUCAUUCAUCCAAUCAGAACUGACUCAAAGGGGCGUGUCCUGUCUGCCACAGUCUCCACCCACCAACGAAAUAGAAGACACGCCACUUCAACAACAGACACUCCCACUGACUCAAACGAUGUCAGAAGGACUGAAAAAGACAUUUUACAACAGGCUCCACCUAUUCUGACAUCAUCAUUUAGUGAUAGCUGGUGGGGGCGGAGUGAAGAGGCUGAAGAUGGAGACGAGCUGUUCUACAACCUGACAGUGUUCGGUCACGACCUCCACCUGCGACUGCGUCCUAACUCUCGCCUCAUUGCCCCUGCCGCCACCAUGGAGUGGGAGGAGUCAGGGCACCUUCGCUCUGAACCAAUCAGGAACACCGGCUGCUUCUACACAGGAACUGUGAGCAACAUGGAGGACACAUCCGUCGCCAUCAGCAACUGUGAUGGACUGGCUGGGAUGAUCCAAACAAGUGAAGAAGAGUUCUUCAUUGAACCAUUGGAGCGAUGGAGGCCAGUAGAAGAAGAGGGGGACAAAGAUAAAAGAAGAAGACAGCAUAUUAUUUAUCGCUCUUCAGCUAUCAUCAGGAAACACUUAGAUGUCAAUCAAACUAAAGCUUUCAAUCAAACCACAAAUGACUUCUUUCAAGGUCCUCUGUUGGGCUCUCUGAACUUGACCCAGAACGUGGUCUCAUCCAGAUCCAGGUCUGCUCGCCGGCGCCGCCACACAGUGGAGGCUGAACUCUUUAACAUUGAGGUCUUGCUGGCAGUGGAUUAUUCUGUUCUUCUUUUCCACGGCAGAGACCACAUCCAGAAAUAUCUCCUGACACUGAUGAACAUAGUUAAUGAGAUCUAUCAGGAUCAUUCUCUGGGGGCCAACAUGAACGUUGUCCUGGUCAGAAUCACCAUGCUGUCUCCAGCAAAGUCCCAGGAGCUGAUCUCUGUGGGGAACCCUCAAAAGAGUCUGGAGAACGUUUGUGGAUGGUCAUACCACCAACAGAGGGAGCAGAGUCAUGCCGAGCAGCACGACCAUACCAUCUACCUGACCAGGCAGGAGUUCGGCCCCUUCGGCAUGCAAGGUUAUGCUCCAGUUACAGGGAUGUGUCACUUGCAUCGGAGCUGCGUUCUCGUCUUAGAGGAUGGCUUUUCAUCGGCUUUUGUAGCUGCGCAUGAAACAGGACAUGUGUUAGGUAUGGAGCAUGACGGUGAGGCCAAUGACUGUGCUGAUGAUGUGCCGUUGGGCAGCAUCAUGUCUCCGCGGGUCCAGGCCACCUUCUAUCGUUACCACUGGUCCAGGUGCAGCUGGAGGGAGCUGCACAUGUACCUGCACACCUACGACUGCCUGCGGGACGACCCCUUCAACCACGAGUGGCCGACUCAGCCUCAGCUUCCGGGCUUUCAGUACUCCAUGGAACAGCAGUGUCGCUUCGACUUCGGGCCGGGAUACAGCCUGUGUACCGCGUACACGACCCCUGACCCCUGCAAACAGCUGUGGUGCAGCGACUACCACAACCCGCUCUUCUGUAAGACCAAGAAAGGCCCGCCGCUCGACGGGACCAAGUGUGGACCUGGGAAGCACUGCUUCAAAGGGUUCUGCAUCAAGCUGACGUCAAACCUCCUGAGACAAGAUGGCAGCUGGGGGACAUGGAGCUCGUAUGGCAGCUGCUCCCGGACCUGCGGGUCUGGGAUCCAGUUCCGAACCAGACGCUGUGAUAACCCACCUCCAGCCAACGGGGGGCGCUCCUGCUUCGGUAACAGCUAUGAGUUCCAGCUGUGCAGCACCGAGAACUGCCCCCCCCUGACUGACUUCAGGGAGGAUCAGUGUAAAGUCUGGAAUCCAGUUUUUGAGCAUGAAGGACUAAAACAUCACUGGCUGCCUUACCAGCAUCCUGAUCCUGACGAGCGCUGCCGUCUGUACUGUCGGUCCAAAGAGACGGCGGCCGUGGUGUCCAUGAACAGGAUGGUGCAUGAUGGGACGCCGUGUUCCUAUGACGACGCCCACAGCGUCUGCGUCCGAGGAGAGUGUGAGCAUGUGGGCUGUGAUGGUCAGAUCGCUUCGGACCAGCAGGAGGAUCGAUGUGGGGUAUGUGGAGGAGAUAAUUCCAGCUGUAAAGUCAUCAAGGGAAAUUUCACUCGCAGCACCAAGAAAGAAGGUGAUCUGAACCAGAACCAGAACCAGACCUGGUUCCAUCCAGACCACUUUUUAACCCUGCACACUAAAAGAAAACUCCAUGGUUACUGGUGUCCUAUAGAAACACUUUCCACACAUGUUUCAGGUUACCUGAAGAUUCUGGAGAUCCCCAAAGGAGCCCGACACCUGCUGAUCCAGGAGUUUAAAGGGACUCCUCACAUCCUGGCUGUGAAGAACCAGGAAACGGGUCAUCUCUUCCUCAAUUAUGAAGACGAGCUUCCUGAAACCAGAGUGGUAAUCGAGAAGGGAGUGGUCUGGGACUACAACAACACAAGUGAACAGGAGUUCCUGCAGACCACUGGGCCACUGAAGUACGGGGUUCUGCUCAUGGUCCGUUCCCAUGGCGACUCCAAGGUAACAGUAUCCUAUAAGUACAUAAUUGAGGAUCACCUGCGGUCGUCGCUGGAGUCCAACUUGGUGCAGGAGGAUGCCAUUUUCUACGAGUGGGCACUGAAGAAGUGGUCUCACUGUUCCAAACCCUGUGGAGGAGGAAAACAGUACACGAGGUUUGGAUGCAGGAGAAAGGCUGAUGGGAAAAUGGUUCAGAGGAUAUUCUGUGCCAACAUCAACAAGCCAAGAGCCAUCAGCCGCAAGUGCAACACCGAGACCUGCAGGCCGCCACGCUGGGUGAGCGGAGACUGGGAGGACUGCAGCGCCUCCUGUGGCCAGACCGGGUGGCAGCGGCGCUGGGUCAGCUGCCAGCAGGAGUCCAGCAGCGGGAAGCAGCAACGCUCCGUCAACAGCAAGUUCUGCAGCAACGAUCGGCCAGAGUCCAAACAGAUCUGCAACCGGUUCCCCUGCCCCGCCGCCUGGAGAACCGGGCCCUGGACUCCGUGUUCGGCGUCUUGUGGAAACGGGACUCAGGAGCGUCAGGUUGCGUGUUUGAAUCCUGAAGGCUCAGCUGGAAACUGCAGCAACCGUCAACCAAUCAGGACACGCACAUGCCAGGCCCCGCCCUGCAGCGGCUACCAGAAGAACGCCAUCAUCCUGUGGCUGUCCAGGUCCAACCCAAACUUCCCAGCAACACAGAACUUCUCCAGGCAGCGUUGCCAUGGUGACCGCUCUGUAUUUUGUCGGAUGGAGGUGUUGAGUCGGUACUGCUCCAUCAACGGAUAUCGACAGAUGUGCUGCAAAUCCUGCAGUGAAAAAAGAUUCAGCAACACUGAGAACGUCAACAGUUCUAGCAUCUCAAACGGCCAUAACAGAACCACCAGCUCCACCAGCUCCACCAGCUCCAGCAGCAUUACUCCAGCAAUGGACAGCAGCAGUUAUGUAAAAGUGACCGAGACCAUGACUUCUGUGACCUCAACAACCGCAUCAAACAUUGGCCAUGUGAUCAGUGGAACUCCUCCCAUUGUCCCCCAGACGUCUCCCCCCACCAGCAGGAGCAGCACUGACUUCAUCUACGUGGAGUACGAUGAUUAUGAGGAGUAUUCCUCAUACGGGGACCUAUCUCUUCUCUCUGUGACGCCAGUUACCAUGACAACUGUGAUUUCUGCUGUCACCAGUACUACCAGUACUACAGCCACUGCUACCACCAUGUCACCGAUGCGUCCAAGAAAAACUGCUCCACUGCACUUUUUCAAGAAGAAAACUCCCAUAAUGCCACUGGUUACAGUUCCCAUGGUAACUGAAAACAAAACAGCGGCGCCUGUCAGGAAGCCUGCUGUUCCAGAUAUCCCCACCACGGCGUCAGAUGAUGACAUCAUCAAUGCCUCCUCAUAUGGACUGAAGCUCCAAACUGAAAUCCCUCUGACAGAAUCGGAACCGUCGUCUUCAUCUUUCCUGUUGUCCAAGAAAGAGAACAAUUCGGUGGACGAGGUCCAGUACCGCAUCGUGGGGAUGGACGGAGAUGCCACCAGAGACCAGCACAACUACUUUGUGCCGCGGAUGCCGCCAAUGCGCGAGCGAACUCAGAACCAGCGCAUUCAGCAGCUCCUGAGGGAAAAACGAGUCCAGAACCUCCUGAGCAGGAUGAACAGAACCAGACUGAGCCGGGCCGACAGGAAACACUGAUCUGGCCAGUUUGCUUCUGCUGCCUCAGCUACCUUCUGCUAAUGCUAACAGAGCAUCAGAAACUGACCGGAACCACGUCCAGCAACCAGAACGUGGACUUCAGAGAACUGCAGCCAAUCAUAAACCAGGAACGUCCCAUGCUGAGACCUCCUCCCCCUCCAGCCUUUCUGGUUUCCGCCGCCAGGAUGAGGUCUGGACUCUGACUGGACCACGCUGAGACCUCCUCCCCCUCCAGCCUGUCUGGUUCCUGAGUCUGGAUAAGGUCUGGACUUUGGCUGGACCACACUGAGACCUCUACCCACUCCCACUUCAGCCUGUCUGGUUCCUGAGUCUGGAUAAGGUCUGGACUUUGGCUGGACCACACUGAGACCUCUACCCACUCCCACUUCAGCCUGUCUGGUUCCUAGAGUCAGGAUGAGGUCUGGAUUCUGACUGGACUACGCUGAGGCCUCCUCCCCCUUCAGCCUGUCUGAGUUAGGAUGAGGUCUGUUUCACAUUGCAAUGCUUCAAUGCGUUUUGAAACUGAAG